Oncorhynchus nerka (sockeye salmon) is the source of this 2140-nucleotide long non-coding RNA. RefSeq lists it as uncharacterized. The record is from RefSeq and is a predicted model, not a curated record. The transcript is spliced from 6 exons. NCBI's taxonomy places the organism in Eukaryota, Metazoa, Chordata, Actinopteri, Salmoniformes, Salmonidae.
GGGGGAAAGAGACGAGCAUAGGUUCCUCCCAAGAUGCCACCCGCUUCAUUCAAGUGCCUGGCAGCACUGUGUUCCUGUUAGAGCCACCAGCACAAGCACCAGAUGAUGCUGAUCCAGGUGAAGGCCCCAGUGCAGCAGCAACAGCACAUGAUGGAGACGAUGAUGAGGAGGAGACCAUCUCUCUGGAUUCCAGAAGGCAUGAGGACCCAGAUGCUAUACAGUGGGAAAACCAGCCUGGCAACAUAGUGCGUAUUAAUAAAAGGACACCACAUCCUGCCAAAUUCCAGCUGCGCUAAUUGUAUUGUGUUCACAGAGCUCACAAGCUAUCAGAAAGUUGUAUGGCAACCACCUCCGGCGCCAAAUAGAACUGGCAGACAUAGACAUUCAGUACAAGAAGAAAAAGAUGGAAAAUCUUGCACUGGAGACCGAAAUAAAAAAGAGGACAAUUAGGAAACUGGACCUUGAAAUAAAAAAAAACUUGAGAGGGAGGUGAGAUAUGCCUUCAAUGUACACUGUAUGCUAACUGUAACACAAAUGUAUUAAUCAUUAUUUUUCUUUCCUCCCCCAGCUCCAAGAAGAUGACACAGCUCAAAAUAAAAAUUAGGUAUAUUCUCGUAAAGUCAAGUGAGCCAUGACAUAUGAGCUCUUAUUGUGAGCACACAGGACGGUGGCAUCUUUCUAAGUUUUGUAUUUAUUUUCCCAGCAAUCAGUACAACCAAGUCAUCGUUAUAAGGCAUCGCCCUCUUUUGCCCACCCCCAGCACCAGGUGUGGCCACUAGCCUAUAUGAAGGCCCAAAAUUGUGUGUUCCUUUCUGCUCUGACAAUGGCAUGCCCAUUCGUGCGAGAUGUGGUGGAUGAAGAAGCACUUGUGCUGAGGAGAGCCUUCAGGCGAGAAAGGGUCUUCAGGGACCGGUUGGACCCACUGGCCUUCCCUGAUGACCAUCUAUAUGAAAGAUACAGGUUUUCUGCAGAUGGCAUCAGGUAUCUAUGCAGACUACUGGGUCCCAGGAUUAAGCACCGCACUGCACGGAGCCAUGCACUGAGUGUGGAGCAAAUGGUUUGUGUGGCCUUGCGCUUUUUUGCUAGUGGAGCCUUCCUGUACUCAGUGGGGGAUGCAGAACAGCUGAACAAGGCCACAAUUUGCCACACAAUAAGGAGUGUGUGUCUGGCUAUCAAAGCAUUAGCAGAUGUCUUCAUCUCCUUCCCUGGCCACAGAAGACUCUGUGACAUCAAAGAGGAGUUCUAUAGGAUUGCAGAUGGUCUGCAAUGCUGACUGUGUGAUCAGCAAUGUUGUGGCAAAAUGGCCUGGCUCAGUCCAUGACUCCAGAAUCUUUCGGGCCUCUGAAAUCUAUCAGUGCCUAUCACAAGGUGAAUUCUCUGGUGUGUUGCUGGGAGACAGGGGAUAUGGCUGCCAGCCUUUUCUCCUGACACCUUUCACAGACCCCAGGAAGCACAGCAGGCCUACAACCAUGCCCAUGCCAGGACCAGGGCCAGAGUUGAAAUGACCUUUGGCCUCCUGAAGGCACGCUUUCACUGCCUUCACAAAUUAAGGGUCAGCCCUGUUAGGGCAUGUGAUAUUACUGUGGCUUGUGCUGUCCUCCACAAUGUGGCCUGCCUGAGGAAGGAGAGGGCCCCCAGAGUGCCACCAGCCAUGGACUGGGACAAUCCGGCAAUCUUCCCUGAUGACGACAGUGGUCGGCUGCUGAGGGACCAAUAUGUGUUGAAUUAUUUUAGUUAGUAUGUGUGCUUUCAAUUUUGGUUAAAUAUGUCCUGCGGUGGCAGAGGAAUUUGGUUUUUUUUGGGUUCGUAUUUUGACGAAUUUGGCCUCUUAUGAUGUUUGUGCGGUAUACUGUGUGUAAUACAAGGCUGCAGGGAGGCUACUGCAUCCAUUCAUUUGUCUGUUCAGUUGAUGUGUAUGGAUUUGUCCUGCAUUUAUUUUAGUGUGCAGACAUGCAGGGUGUGUUAUAUACAGACCUUUGAAUGUGUAUGUAUCAUUUUGUAUAAUAUGCUUGGAUUCUGUGCUUUCCAUCUUGUAGAGUCACUGUGACUUCAGUUUCGAAAGGAGCUGAUGGUUUACCUGCUUUGUUUUGUCCUUAUUCAAUAAAGGAACAUAAUGUUACACAUUGUGUUUUUAUAUUCA